This 369-nucleotide ribosomal RNA is filed under the name uncultured bacterium. RNAcentral's name for it is "bacterial SSU rRNA". It matches the Rfam family "Bacterial small subunit ribosomal RNA", at positions 525 to 896 of the family's 1533-position model. The record is from RNAcentral.
ACGGAGGGUGCAAGCGUUAUCCGGAUUCACUGGGUUUAAAGGGUGCGUAGGCGGGCAAUUAAGUCCGUGGUGAAAUACCUGAGCUUAACUUGGGAACUGCCAUGGAUACUAUUUGUCUUGAAUGUCGUGGAGGUUAGCGGAAUAUGUCAUGUAGCGGUGAAAUGCUUAGAUAUGACAUAGAACACCUAUUGCGAAGGCAGCUAACUACGCGAAUAUUGACGCUGAGGCACGAAAGCGUGGGGAUCAAACAGGAUUAGAUACCCUGGUAGUCCACGCCCUAAACGAUGAUUACUCGACAUUGGCGAUACACAGUCAGUGUCUGAGCGAAAGCAUUAAGUAAUCCACCUGGGAAGUACGACCGCAAGGUUG